GAGUAGCAAUAUUCAAAUCAGUGGCGCACGGGUGCGUAACGCGUAUGCAACCUUCCUUAACCUGGGGGAUAGCCUUCCGAAAGGGAGAUUAAUACCGCAUAAGAUCACACGAUGGCAUCAGAGAGUGAUUAAAGAUUUAUUGGUUUAAGAUGGGCAUGCGUGCCAUUAGCUAGUUGGUAGGGUAAUGGCCUACCAAGGCUACGAUGGCUAGGGGUUCUGAGAGGAUGAUCCCCCUCACUGGUACUGAGAUACGGCCCAGACUCCUACGGGAGGCAGCAGUAGGGAAUAUUGGCCAAUGGACGGAAGUCUGACCCAGCCAUGCCGCGUGCAGGAAGAAGGCCUUCUGGG
Molecule: ribosomal RNA, 348 nt
Filed under: uncultured bacterium
Lineage: Bacteria
Description: bacterial SSU rRNA
Rfam family: Bacterial small subunit ribosomal RNA
Source: RNAcentral